Molecule: ribosomal RNA, 298 nt
Filed under: Vibrio alginolyticus
Lineage: Bacteria; Pseudomonadati; Pseudomonadota; Gammaproteobacteria; Vibrionales; Vibrionaceae
Description: partial 23S ribosomal RNA
Rfam family: Bacterial large subunit ribosomal RNA
Source: RNAcentral
CUGUGAAGAUGCAGUGUACCCGCGGCUAGACGGAAAGACCCCGUGAACCUUUACUACAGCUUGGCACUGAACAUUGACCCUACAUGUGUAGGAUAGGUGGGAGGCUUUGAAGCGCAGUCGCUAGAUUGCGUGGAGCCGUCCUUGAAAUACCACCCUUGUAGUGUUGAUGUUCUAACGUUGACCCCUAAUCGGGGUUGCGGACAGUGCCUGGUGGGUAGUUUGACUGGGGCGGUCUCCUCCCAAAGCGUAACGGAGGAGCACGAAGGUGGGCUAAUCACGGUUGGACAUCGUGAGGUUA